This 253-nucleotide ribosomal RNA is filed under the name uncultured bacterium. Its description in RNAcentral is "partial 16S ribosomal RNA". It matches the Rfam family "Bacterial small subunit ribosomal RNA", at positions 524 to 776 of the family's 1533-position model. The record is from RNAcentral.
GACGAAGGAUGCAAGCGUUAUCCGGAUUCAUUGGGUUUAAAGGGAGCGUAGGCGGCCUUAUAAGUCAGUGGUGAAAUCUCGAGGCUUAACCUCGAAAUUGCCAUUGAUACUGUAGGGCUUGAGUACAGAUGCCGUUGGCGGAAUAUGACAUGUAGUGGUGAAAUACAUAGAGAUGUCAUAGAACACCGAUUGCGAAGGCAGCUAACGAAACUGUAACUGACGCUGAGGCUCGAAAGUGCGGGGAUCAAACAGG